RNAcentral lists this ribosomal RNA (472 nucleotides) under uncultured bacterium. RNAcentral describes it as "partial 16S ribosomal RNA". It matches the Rfam family "Bacterial small subunit ribosomal RNA", at positions 28 to 507 of the family's 1533-position model. The record is from RNAcentral.
GACGAACGCUGGCGGCGUGCUUAACACAUGCAAGUCGAACGCUGAAGCUUGGUGCUUGCACUGGGUGGAUGAGUGGCGAACGGGUGAGUAAUACGUGAGUAACCUGCCCUUGACUCUGGGAUAAGCCUGGGAAGCUGGGUCUAAUACUGGAUAUGACAUGCCACUGCAUGGUGGUGUGUGGAAAGGGUUUUACUGGUUUUGGAUGGGCUCACGGCCUAUCAGCUUGUUGGUGGGGUAAUGGCCUACCAAGGCGACGACGGGUAGCCGGCCUGAGAGGGUGACCGGCCACACUGGGACUGAGACACGGCCCAGACUCCUACGGGAGGCAGCAGUGGGGAAUAUUGCACAAUGGGCGGAAGCCUGAUGCAGCGACGCCGCGUGAGGGAUGACGGCCUUCGGGUUGUAAACCUCUUUCAGUACGGAAGAAGCGAGAGUGACGGUACGUGCAGAAGAAGCGCCGGCUAACUACGUG